Molecule: ribosomal RNA, 185 nt
Filed under: uncultured Anoxybacillus sp.
Lineage: Bacteria; Bacillati; Bacillota; Bacilli; Caryophanales; Anoxybacillaceae
Description: partial 16S ribosomal RNA
Rfam family: Bacterial small subunit ribosomal RNA
Source: RNAcentral
CCCUUAUGACCUGGGCUACACACGUGCUACAAUGGGCGGUACAAAGGGUCGCGAACCCGCGAGGGGGGAGCCAAUCCCAAAAAGCCGCUCUCAGUUCGGAUUGCAGGCUGCAACUCGCCUGCAUGAAGCCGGAAUCGCUAGUAAUCGCGGAUCAGCACGCCGCGGUGAAUACGUUCCCGGGCCUU